RNAcentral lists this small RNA (520 nucleotides) under Oryza sativa Japonica Group (Japanese rice). Its description in RNAcentral is "sRNA Os02g0136850". The record is from RNAcentral. Lineage: Eukaryota; Viridiplantae; Streptophyta; Magnoliopsida; Poales; Poaceae.
CUCGUCGGGGUCGUACAGGAGGGUGCGCCCCGUCAGGUCGGUGCCGACUAUCUUGUUAUGCCUUCCACCAAGGAGCAUGAACUCCAUCGUCUCCAUCGGGCAGACCGAUGCACGGAAGCUCAUCACCGGGCAUGGCAGAUUGCCGUACUCCACCGCCGCCGCGCCGUCGUGUGCUCCGGCGUCCAGCGGCGUUGCCAAUUUACGGGGGAGGAAGAAGCGUGACAUGUCCAUGCGCCGCACUGUGUAGUUGCCUUGGACCUUAUCAAGCACCAGAUUCACAAAUCGCCGGUAACUCAUAACUGAUCUUCCUCCUCCAAAUUAUGAACAGGAAUCUACUAGAUAUGUAUAUGCACUAGUUGCAUAUACGAUCGAUCGAUUAGUUGGAUUUAUCCGAAAUUCUUUGUGCUUCGGAUGUUAAUUGUUCAUCUUGUUGAUUCCAACACAUCGAGGCAGCAUGAAUAUCUGUACCUCGAUUUCUCCUUGUACAAAAACCAGAAAUAAUCCAGCAAUUAUUACUCAC